AGGAGGAAACGCCACCUGGUGGUCCUUUAACUGAAGCUUUGCCCCCUGCCCGAAAGGAAGAAGCAGUUUUCCAGCUUUGCUUCUGCUACCGUAGCUUGGAUUGUCUGCGGACUCAAAGGUGAGUACAAUCAACGAGAAACUGAAGUGGGAGAUUCUACGACUGCCCAGAGGCAGCAGCAUGCAUGGGGCUGGUUGUGGGUGCUGUGUGCAGUCCAGAGGAAUCGUGGGAGAAAGGAAGUCCUUAAACACCGUACAGAAACAAACACUGCAAUCCAGUAUGGCUUAUUCGGAUGCAUUUACCAUGAAGCUACUAGA
This 315-nucleotide small RNA is filed under the name Pongo abelii (Sumatran orangutan). RNAcentral describes it as "processed transcript". The record is from RNAcentral. Lineage: Eukaryota; Metazoa; Chordata; Mammalia; Primates; Hominidae.